AAGAGGCCUUUCCAUUAGUGAAGUUCAUUUUUGUGUGACCUCUCUACAGACCUAUAAUCUCCUUUAAUCUGUUACCCCAGUGUGACUGGUCAAUAGGGGCCUGUCAAAAUACCUCUGCUCUCUUUCCCUUUCUUCUAUUCCUCAGCCUAUUUCUCUUGCAAAAUAAAAGGGAUUUUAAAACUGAAAUUCAUUAUUUAAAUUUCAUGUGUUGAAAUUUAAGAUUUCAAAAUGAAACUAUGUACAGUCUUAAAAUUUAGUACUCAAAACGCAUUCAAUUUAAUUGCCAAAUAAUAAUGUCCCAAAAAGUGUGAAAGAAUUAUUUUUCAUGCAUAUAAAUGUCUGUAGUCAGUAUUUCAGAGAACCAUAGAAUCACUUGGGUUGGAAGGAACUUUAAAGACUGCCUAGUUCCACACCCUUUGCCACGUCAGGGACAACUUCCUCUAGACCACCUGUCUCAAAGCCCCACCCAUCCUGGCCUUGAACACUUCUAGGGAUGCAGGAAUCACAGCUUCUCUGGGCAGCCUGAUCCAGCGCAUCACCACCCUCACAGUGAAGAAUUUCUUUAUAAAAAUAUGUAUUCUAAACCUACCACCUCUUAGUUUAAGGCCAUUUUCCCUUGACCCAUCACUAAAUGGCCUUGUCAAAAGUCCCUCUCCAGCUCUCUUGGAGCCCUCUUUAGGAACUGGAAGGCUGCUAUAAGGUGUCUCUGGAGCCUUAUCAUCUCCAGGAUAUUUAAAAUAAUCAAAGAAGCUGUUCAGCACCAAGAUUCUCCUCACUUGUAUUCCCUUUGAACAAAAUUUUAUCAACAUGCAUUCUGUACUGCCAUUUUUUUUAUGAUAGAGACAGGCAAAGGAAUGGCUAACAAAGGGGUACAAGGAAGGAUUUGCCCACAGCCACUGAAAGUUUUACUCCUGGGACAGGCAGUCACCACACUGCGAUUAAACUAAGCUGUCAUGAUCCUCUACAGGCAGAUAGAAACAGCCUCACAUUUACAAGCCCUGGCUUUUGUGGCCUCAGACACCCUGACAUCUUCUGAAGGCACAGCACAGAGGAAUUUAAGUAAUUCAGGGGGUUCCUGGAGUACACUGAUGAUAACUUCCCCUUCUGAGAGAUGGAAGAGUCAAUGAGAAAAGGUGCUGUGCUGGACCUCAUGUUCACAAUGAGUGAGUGCUUGUUGGAGAUGUGAACGUCAAAGGCAGAUGUGGCUGCAGCAACCAUGAGAUGGUGGUAGAAUUCAGGGCAGAGGGGAGAGUGAAAAGCUGGCACAUACUGCUGGACAGGGGGAACGAGGAAUACAGCAUCAGACUGUUCUCAGUAGUGCCCUCUAACAGGACCAGAGCCAAAGGGCAAAAAGUGAAACACAGGAAGCUCCUCCUGAACAUCAGGAAGCACUUUUUCCUGUAAAGGUGACUAAGCACUGGUAGAGAUUGCCCAGGAAUGUCAUGGAGUCUCCAUACUUGGAGAUGUACAAAACCCACCAUAUUGUCCUGCAUUUAGGUUGUCCUGCAUGAGCAGGGGUAGCGGACUUGUUGGACCUGUACAUCAGAUGACGUACCGACCUCUUCCCUUCUGAUACAAGAAAGGGAUACCUUCUGAUACCUGCAACAUCUUCAACAGGCUUUGGUAGUACCUGUUUGGACAAAUGGUUUGUGAAUAGUCCUCAUACAUGAGUGAAUAAAAAUGUACUCGGGAGUAGAGUGUAUGCAUACACCCAUCACAGCUCUUAUGUGCUUUGUCCUUAUUUAGGAAAGAGAUUGAAGAGAAAAAAAGUUUGAAGAAAAUUAUCUCUGUAAUUAUAUGGUCUAUGUGGCAGUUUUUCCUCUCAGCUGGAAUUCUAGGAUUCAAAUUAUAUUCAGUAGGAAGCCUUCACUGUUUUUUACUGGCACUGAAAAAGUGCUUGAGAAAAAUAUGUGUCUAUUGAAUCACAGUUCUUGAAUUUUAUUCAUUUUAGUAAGUGGUUUUAAGUAAUUUUUUGAAUUCUCAUUUUAAGAUUUUUUAUUUACAUACCACUUUCUGAUGUAAUUUUUACUUUGAAAUGACAAAUCUUCAAAACGCAGUCAGCUGUAAGCAGAAUUUUUAAUUCUUCUUUCGUAUCACAA
This is a long non-coding RNA of Passer domesticus (house sparrow), 2099 nucleotides long. RefSeq lists it as uncharacterized. The record is from RefSeq and is a predicted model, not a curated record. Lineage: Eukaryota; Metazoa; Chordata; Aves; Passeriformes; Passeridae. The transcript has 3 exons.